RNAcentral lists this long non-coding RNA (249 nucleotides) under Panax ginseng (ginseng). RNAcentral describes it as "long non-coding RNA (PGIN_LNC009151)". Lineage: Eukaryota; Viridiplantae; Streptophyta; Magnoliopsida; Apiales; Araliaceae. The record is from RNAcentral.
UGCCAUUUUAGCCAGUCGUGAGGCUUUUUCGUCUUGGUCAUUUCGGUAUCGAGUUCUAGGCGAGGUGCCUUCUACCCGUUUCCGACCAUGGCCAGACCCCUUCUCUGUCGGGAAAACUAGCUUACGCUUGACGUUGCCCACAGCCCUCGGCCAAAAAUCUUCAUGUGAUCGUUUGGACGCUGUGCUGGCAUGAACACUUAUUGCAGGUCCCAAACGAUCCUUGACAGACACUCGCGGUGUUGAUUCACU